Amphiprion ocellaris (clown anemonefish) is the source of this 3688-nucleotide long non-coding RNA. Lineage: Eukaryota; Metazoa; Chordata; Actinopteri; Pomacentridae. The record is from Ensembl.
GUCUUUUCUAGGGGUACCGUAAUUUUUGUCCAGGCCUGUUUCAUGAGUUAUAUUUUUUAAAAUAAUUCUGUUGAACCACGGUUCAAAAGCAAUGUCUGAUUUUCAUUGGUUAAUUUUCAUAGAAUUUUUAUUUAUUAUUAUUUUUGUCAAAUUCUAAUUAUUUCUGUGACCAUAAUGGAUUUUUCUUUCAUUAACUGAGGGGUACCAACAAUUUUGUCCACGUAUGUAAAGGGAGCCAUAUCAGACAUCAACAGAGACCACUACAAAUGCACAGUAGAGGUGACGGUAAAGGAAAAUAUAUUAAUAUGUACAGUUGUUAUAGAAUAUUCACAUUCAUACACAUUCCACAAUGCAAAAAAAAUAAAAAUAAUCAUCUCUGGUCAUUGGUCGAGGGAUUUCAGUAAAUCUCAAUAAAGACUUUUAUUUUUUUUUGUACCAAAAUAGGCAGUUAGAGCAGGGAUAAAUAUUAUAAUAUGUUAGAUAUAGAUCGUUCUCUGUAAUAGAUUCUUUGCAUCGGUGCUUUACUCUAACAGACAGUGGCAUGGUCCCCUGGCUAAAACACACAGCCAGAGUCACAAAGAGAGUCCAGUUCUGUCAUCUGACACAUACCGUCAUACAUAUAGGCUGUAUAAAAGAAGUAGAUGUAGAUUCUGGCUCUGAAAAGUGAAGCCAAUGUGGAAAUGCCUUAAAGAUGCAUUCUUUGUAAUGGCCAGCAGGAGGCGACUUCACAAAGAAUUCUGAUUACGUAGACGUAUAUGAGGAAUUGAUCCUACUUCUCACUUGAUAUAAUACCUCAGUAAACAUUUUUCUAAUGAGUUAAUGAUCUUAGUUUCUAGUUCCAAGUCUUCUUCAAUACAACUCGAUGUUCAUUUAGUAAAUUAUAGUUCCAUUUAAUAAAAAACAGAUAAUAAAGCAGGGUAUGGUUCAGGGCCAGACUAACUUGGGUUGACAAAUCGCUACCGUGCAUAGUGUCUUCGAGUUCUCGGUCAGAUCCACCUCUCGCUCCUGUCCAAGUCCACCUUCUUGUCCGAAUAUCAUCAUCUUCAGGCUCCAUCAAAACAAAAUGGUGACGACCAAAAUGCCAAACUUGAUGCUUCAAAAUGUUAGUCCACAAACUGACGGGUGAUGUCACAGUGGCUACAUCCACUUCUUUUAUACAAGCUACGUCCAUCUACUUGAUCAGUAAGGAUUACAGAUGGAAAAAAUUUAGUUUAGCUGAACAUUCUCUGCGGAAACAUUAAAGCUUUCAAAACACAUGUGGGAUAAAUAACAAUUCAUUAUUUAGACCUAAGAGCUACUCUGUUGACAGAACAGUCUUUCUGUAUGACCCUGGUCUCCAGUCAGCUUGGAGUUGCCUCGGGGUUGAGGGUGGAGAUGGGGAGUGGGUGGCUGACAAGGUCCAUACAGGGGCUGGGUCACCAAAAGCAUCUUGGUAUCUCGAAUGUUACACUUGACAACAGAUUAUUUUCAUGUUUCAGGUUAGUCGGAUUCAUGACCUCAGCACUCGUGUUCAUUCGGUCACAUCAAGUUCCUCUCUAAGUCAAAACAUUUCUUUUUUUACCUUUACACCUUCAGAUGUCUACUUUCUGACAGGAAUGACACAAUCUUUGCUAAUCCAAAGUUCAAUCAUGUUUUUACAGUGACACAUAUUAAAGGUGCUGUGUGCAUCUUUGUAAACAAACAAAAGUUAUGUUUACAUUCACCACUGAUCCUUCCACCAACCAUUAAUCUGCAGAUAAGUGUUAAACCAGCAGCAAGAUGUAAAACACACCACCCACAUGCAUCCUUGUGUAUUGUAUAAAUAAAACAGGGACCCAGUGGUAAAAACACUGCUCCACAGCUCUUUUCAGGAGACUAAAAGUAUCUAUAUGUUAGUUUAAUAUAGUGUAUGAGCUUAUCCUCAAUCUCUGCUACGAGCAGCAAAGACCCAGUAAAGACUGCUACAACUAACAGAUUUACAAAGCAAGGGGCAUUCAUGAUAUACUUGUACUAUUAAAGGUGCAAUAUGCAUGUUUUUGAGCACAAAUAUAGCAUUAAUAUAGCAGCAAACAACUAUCAGCUAUGUAAAGAUACAGAGUAAUGGUGUCCUUAGCAGAGAAUGGACUCCCACUCCCUCUGUGUGUUUUAUACUCAGAGCUUCCCUGUUCUAUUUUUUGGCAGCUGGUCCAGCUGUGCAUGCAUGCUGGUGCAUGUGAAAUCCUCCCUUUGAAACUGACCUCCCUGCUGCUCCAUCUCCACCACGUCUGUUCUACUGCGGUCUUUGUGUGUCUGUUUCCACACAGGUUCGCUCCGUUCUUGGGUCCCUUUCGGUCCGACAAACAGUGGAAACGGACACACACCAACCAGAACAAACAUGAAGAAGAAAAGACAAGCGAAGUGAAGAUGCUGUUCGUCGAGUUGACAACAACUCACUACAGCAAUUCAGUGUCUUAUAGAGUGAUAAUUAGGCUUAUGGUUGUGGCAGGAUUGAAUUUUGUUGGCUCUCCUGCACAUAAUAUUUCUGGUUGUAAAUGAAAAUGAAAGGCGUGGGGAAGUGUGUCUCACGUACCCGUACAUUUUGGUCUGAGAUGCUGGUGUUCUCCAUCAGGUGGUGCUAAGCGAUGCACACAGAACCUUUAAUCUUGCAGCUCCUUUGAAAAAUAUAAACAUUCUGGAAAUUCAACACAAGUCUGUUGCCUGAAAUAAGUGUGAAUUUCAGUCCACUGUCCAUGCUCUGUGGCCUGCACAAACGUUAGAUUAAAAUGCUAGUUUAGCCCCAUUCAAACAACAUCUACAGAAUGUAUGAAAACAUCGUUGAGGAUACAACCCUUAGUGAACACAACCAUAACGGAACCAUGUAGUAACGGAGUGCUGAGGUCAAACAUACGACUGGCUUCAAACUUCAAAAUCCAGUGUGAAAAAACCUGUUGGCACAAGAGCACUGCAGUAGAUUCUGACUGUAGAUUUUACUGGAGGAGUACAUUUGAUGUUUUUAAAUACUUAGCAACAGCAUGACGUACAGCAAAUAAGUAAACUGCAAAAAGCCGUCAUCAAAAACUGUCCUCUGACCUGUUGUCAAACCAGCAUAACAACCACUGAAAGAAAAGUGAGUGCAUAAUAUCAUCAUAUCCAUAAACUAGAACCAAUGGGACGGAAUCAGCUGCUGCGCUAAGAUGCUUUUAAGAAACCAGCCCUCAUUAGUGCAACUACGGUAAGAAGGAAAGCUGUAACGAUGAUGCUGAUGAUUACGAUUGUGAUGAUAGCGCUGAUGAAGAAGAUGAUACACUGUUCAAUGUCAGGAGUGCACAACUAACGUCACACUGUGGGUGUAAAGAGGAGAGAAGAGGAGAGAGAUGAAGACGAGGGACAGAGAGAAGAAGGAGGAGGAGGAAGGAAAAGGCUGAGAAGUCUUGUGGGAUGAAGACUUGGACAAAACAGACCCAGGUUUCUUAAAAAGAGAAUCUGGCCCUUUAUUUAUCAAGUUGCUGAGAAAACAUUUUUUGAAGCUAAAAGUAAAAAGCGUUCACCGUGACUCCUCACAGAUUAAAGCUAAUUAUGAAAUUUAAAAUCUCUUUAAAAACGCUCUUCAAUGGAAGUGUUUUAGACGAUUACACAAGUUGUAACCGGUCAGGAUGAGCAAAACAUUAGCAGAAGCAAUUUGUAAAACUCAGAGUUGGGUAUUUUGAAAUUUUAACAUUUAAUGGGUUUC